RNAcentral lists this long non-coding RNA (315 nucleotides) under Ananas comosus (pineapple). RNAcentral describes it as "long non-coding RNA (ACOM_LNC029088)". Lineage: Eukaryota; Viridiplantae; Streptophyta; Magnoliopsida; Poales; Bromeliaceae. The record is from RNAcentral.
AAUGUUUUAAAAUUACAAAAAAGUCAUUUAUAAUAAAAAUUAAAAUAUUAUAAAUUUUAAUUUUAGGGGGUCAAAUUAAUUUUUUUAAUAAAAUUUGUGUUUUAAUUUCUUUUCGAAUUUCUUGACCCUUUUCCGUCAACUCUUAGAGUCUUGUUUCUUUUUUAGCAUAUUAUUGUUAUUGUUGCUAGUAAUAACUAGUCAGUGAAUCCAACAAAUUUUUUUUUUACUAUCCAAGUUCGAAUUUUUUUCCUAUCAAAUCUAUAUCUUGACCCCCUCGAAUCUUAAUUUCUGACUUCUCGCUGCAUUAAGUCAAUG